UGUAAUUAUUUGUUUUUUUUUUCUCCACAGAUAUUUGAGUGUGGCUGUGUAAAAUGAGCAGUUUAGCAGUUUUAAUACGUAACCAUCAAGCGUGAUUGUGUCCUGAAGACCUACCUCAUUUGAAGAGUGUGUGCAUCUACCUCAAUGAAGACUUAAAGGAAUAUGUGGACUGAAAGUGGCAGAAUCUCAUCGCACACACAACAGUGGAGAUCUUUAUCAUUUGGGCUGAGGAUGCUACAGAUGUUAGUG
Molecule: long non-coding RNA, 249 nt
Organism: Danio aesculapii
Lineage: Eukaryota; Metazoa; Chordata; Actinopteri; Cypriniformes; Danionidae
Exons: 3
Source: RefSeq, a predicted model, not a curated record